RNAcentral lists this ribosomal RNA (496 nucleotides) under uncultured bacterium. RNAcentral describes it as "partial 16S ribosomal RNA". It matches the Rfam family "Bacterial small subunit ribosomal RNA", at positions 29 to 507 of the family's 1533-position model. The record is from RNAcentral.
AUGAACGCUGGCGGCGUGCCUAAUCCAUGCAAGUCGAGCGAACAGACGAGGAGCUUGCUCCUUCGACGUUAGCGGCGGACGGGCGAGUAACACGUAGGUAACCUACCUAUAAGACUGGGAUAACUUCGGGAAACCGGAGCUAAUACCGGAUAAUAUUUCGAACCGCAUGGUUCGAUAGUGAAAGAUGGCUUUGCUAUCACUUAUAGAUGGACCUGCGCCGUAUUAGCUAGUUGGUAAGGUAACGGCUUACCAAGGCAACGAUACGUAGCCGACCUGAGAGGGUGAUCGGCCACACUGGAACUGAGACACGGUCCAGACUCCUACGGGAGGCAGCAGUAGGGAAUCUUCCGCAAUGGGCGAAAGCCUGACGGAGCAACGCCGCGUGAGUGAUGAAGGUCUUCGGAUCGUAAAACUCUGUUAUUAGGGAAGAACAAACGUGUAAGUAACUGUGCACGUCUUGACGGUACCUAAUCAGAAAGCCACGGCUAACUACGUG